AAUAGAUACCCGGUAGUCCACGCCGUAAACGAUGAGUGCUAAGUGUUAGAGGGUUUCCGCCCUUUAGUGCUGCAGCUAACGCAUUAAGCACUCCGCCUGGGGAGUACGGCCGCAAGGCUGAAACUCAAAGGAAUUGACGGGGGCCCGCACAAGCGGUGGAGCAUGUGGUUUAAUUCGAAGCAACGCGAAGAACCUUACCAGGUCUUGACAUCCUCUGCCAACCCUAGAGAUAGGGCGUUCCCCUUCGGGGGACAGAGUGACAGGUGGUGCAUGGUUGUCGUCAGCUCGUGUCGUGAGAUGUUGGGUUAAGUCCCGCAACGAGCGCAACCCUUGAUCUUAGUUGCCAGCAUUCAGUUGGGCACUCUAAGGUGACUGCCGGUGACAAACCGGAGGAAGGUGGGGAUGACGUCAAAUCAUCAUGCCCCUUAUGACCUGGGCUACACACGUGCUACAAUGGAUGGUACAAAGAGCUGCGAACCCGCGAGGGUAAGCGAAUCUCAUAAAGCCAUUCUCAGUUCGGA
RNAcentral lists this ribosomal RNA (521 nucleotides) under uncultured bacterium. Its description in RNAcentral is "bacterial SSU rRNA". It matches the Rfam family "Bacterial small subunit ribosomal RNA", at positions 777 to 1297 of the family's 1533-position model. The record is from RNAcentral.